UGGACAUGGGGGGAACCCUGAUCCAGCCAUGCCGCGUGUGUGAAGAAGGCCUUAUGGUUGUAAAGCACUUUAAGCGAGGAGGAGGAGCUCUAGGUUAAUACCUUAGAAGCUUGGACGUUACUCGCAGAAUAAGCACCGGCUAACUCUGUGCCAGCAGCCGCGGUAAUACAGAGGGUGCGAGCGUUAAUCGGAUUUACUGGGCGUAAAGCGUACGUAGGCGGCUUUUUAAGUCGGAUGUGAAAUCCCUGAGCUUAACUUAGGAAUUGCAUUCGAUACUGGGAAGCUAGAGUAUGGGAGAGGAUGGUAGAAUUCCAGGUGUAGCGGUGAAAUGCGUAGAGAUCUGGAGGAAUACCGAUGGCGAAGGCAGCCAUCUGGCCUAAUACUGACGCUGAGGUACGAAAGCAUGGGGAGCAAACAGGAUUAGAUACCCUGGUAGUCCAUGCCGUAAACGAUGUCUACUAGCCGUUGGGGCCUUUGAGGCUUUAGUGGCGCAGCUAACGCGAUAAGUAGACCGCCUGGGGAGUACGGUCGCAAGACUAGAACUCAAAUGAAUUGACNGGGGCCCGCACAAGCGGUGGAGCAUGUGGUUUAAUUCGAUGCAACGCGAAGA
RNAcentral lists this ribosomal RNA (610 nucleotides) under bacterium T-1-48-12F. RNAcentral describes it as "bacterial SSU rRNA". It matches the Rfam family "Bacterial small subunit ribosomal RNA", at positions 365 to 967 of the family's 1533-position model. The record is from RNAcentral.